Molecule: long non-coding RNA, 1875 nt
Organism: Astyanax mexicanus (Mexican tetra)
Lineage: Eukaryota; Metazoa; Chordata; Actinopteri; Characiformes; Acestrorhamphidae
Exons: 2
Source: RefSeq, a predicted model, not a curated record
ACCCAGGUUAAAUUAUUCCUAAUAAUUACCACUGAUUAUAAGAAUUUAAUAAGUUAAACAUAAGAUAAUGAAUUAUUAUAGAAAUAAUAAAAUUAGAUAUUUCAAAAAAAAAACAGUUCUUAUCUCUGAAAAUAACCUAAUAAAAAUAAGGAAACGUAAAAAGAAAAUAUAUAUAUAAUAUAAAAUAAUGGUAUUAUUAGAAAGGCAGCGACGGUACAAAGAACCGCCCACUACGCCACAACCUCACCAGUAAAAAGCAAGUUAACCACCCACUGCGGAAAAAUAUGACCAAUUAAAAAGUUAUCAAGUAAGUUAGUCCAGAGCCACCCACUGCGGAAAAAUGCCACCAAUCACAAGUUAGUAAGCAGAUUAGUCCAGAGCUACGUGACAAAGAUCGCUCGCACUUACGAGUUGGAAGCUGAGCCAGCCGGAUCGCGACGCAGCGGUUGAGCCAGGAGACGGAGCGAGCCGUUUAGAAUUUUGGAUCUAACAAGUGAAUAUCGCAGAUCAGGAGCUAUUAGCCGCUUUUGUUAAAGCUGGGAAACUAAUACGCUAGUUUAGCCUUGCCAAUCUGCCGAGUGCAUUGGACUUUUGGAGUCAUCUCAUGCGCGGAACCGAGUUUUCGCCGCUGGUUGCCAGAUAGUCUGAAACUAAACGAUUCCGGAUCGGAUUUGGCCAGUUUUGAUUGGGAUACACUGCUGAUAAGAAUCUGCCGCCUGGUCACGAGAGCCCAGUUGAGUAGGAGACGCGAUGGCGAGCCUCAGCCCAAAGGAACUUCGUACCUGAGCCUUAAAUCUUGAGUAUCCCUUCUGUUUUUUUUUACGGUUGGACCUUUUUUUUCUUUCCUCCUCGUUCCAAGUGAGUUACACUGCGUUACCUGCAUAACGAACAGAAACCGAUAAACUGAUUCUUGGACGGACUGAAACACUUAAAGAACAGACUUUGCUUCGUCCAGUCACAUUUAAUGUGAAUUGAACUGAAUUGAUUUACAUCGAAAAUACUGUGGGUUUAAUUCUAAUAAGCUACUGAAUACUGAAUAUUGCACUGUUUUGUUAUUUUAUUUUAUUAUUUGGGUGAAUUUGUGAAUUAUUGGGUUUUAUAUUGUGUUGGGAGAAAAGGUACCUUGGUGUGUGACAUUCCAGAAUUAUAACUACAGGUUCAAUACUCACCUCUUAACCAAUUGAAAUAGACAAGUGAAUACUUACAUUAAUCCUCUAAUCAAUAAUUAUACUUACCUUAAUAAUUAUACUUACCUUAAUAAUUAUACUUACCUUAAUUGUCAAACCAAAACCUAAAAGAAAGAUAACGAGAUAACCAUUAAUAAUAACUAAAUAAUACUAAACCUAAAAUAAUAGUAAUCCUUAAAGUACUAAAAUUAUUCCACAGGACUGAGUUAUAAAAUAGGAAACCUUUAGAAUAUAAUAGAGCUUGAGACAUACCACAAAGGGAAAACCAACUAUAUUUUUGUGAAUAUAUUGUUUUAUGAUUGUUUACUUUUGGGAGUAACUACCUGAUUUGUUUAUUUGUAAACCUUGCUUAUAUUUUUCUGUUUUGUUUUAUCUACUGUUUUAUUUACCUUUCUACAUCAGUUGCCUCUAUUUUAACAGUGUCAAUACAUUUACUGAAAAUUUCUAAAGUCAGAUUGAGUGUCUUUAUCCUUUCUGCUUCACGAGCGAACCUAGACUGGUCCAUUUUCUCUCUCUAUCCUUUGGGAUUAAAUUUAUACCUGCAGCCGACCCCCAGGGGGCGCUACAGAACUUGGCGAGCCAGCCAGGAGCAGUUAACACUAAAAGACACUUAAAUAAAAGCUUCCACCCAACUUACUAUAAUUAUUCAAAUUAGAGUACUUUGUCAAUUAAGCUGAUAAAACAGAAA